GCUCAGAGCGAACGCUGGCGGCAGGCCUAACACAUGCAAGUCGAGCGCUCUCUUCGGAGGGAGCGGCGGACGGGUGAGUAACGCGUGGGAACGUGCCCUUCUCUAUGGAAUAGCCACUGGAAACGGUGAGUAAUACCAUAUACGCCCUUCGGGGGAAAGAUUUAUCGGAGAAGGAUCGGCCCGCGUUAGAUUAGGUAGUUGGUGGGGUAAUGGCCUACCAAGCCUACGAUCUAUAGCUGGUUUUAGAGGAUGAUCAGCCACACUGGGACUGAGACACGGCCCAGACUCCUACGGGAGGCAGCAGUGGGGAAUCUUAGACAAUGGGCGCAAGCCUGAUCUAGCCAUGCCGCGUGAGUGAUGAAGGCCUU
Molecule: ribosomal RNA, 368 nt
Filed under: uncultured Alphaproteobacteria bacterium
Lineage: Bacteria; Pseudomonadati; Pseudomonadota; Alphaproteobacteria
Description: bacterial SSU rRNA
Rfam family: Bacterial small subunit ribosomal RNA
Source: RNAcentral